GGGAGAGAUUGCUCCCAGGCCCGGGAUUUGUGUGAGGUGAAGUCUGUGGGGUAUGGAGGCCCUGUCGUCCUGACAGGCAGGGACGGCUGUGAGAAGGAAGGCCUGAGGGAAAGAGAGACAUCUCGUCGUGGGAGCUCCAGGGCAAACUCCCUCUCCACAGGUGCAGGAACGACGUUUCCAGGCAAGCUUAAACAGAAGAGACAGCAGAGCAAACACUCCAGCCCAGCCCAUCAUUGGCUUCUGUGCUGGGUUAAACAAGACCAGAAUUCAGACCUCUCGUUGUAGUACCUUCUGGAAGCAGAGGACACAUCACCCAAACCAGAAACUUUAUCUCAGGCUUCAUUCAAACUUCACAGAAUCAGCAGCUUUUGUGACUGAGCAAAGACAGCAGCACAUGCUGAGCUUUGAGGAGCCUCCCUGAUACCUGGAUGUUUACACUCAGGAUGUGCUUCCACGCUCUGCUGAACCAGAGGCAGUAUCGUUAGAAUUGAGCCACGCUGCAUUUGGGAUUUUUCUGGUUGCAGGGCAAAGGAGUCAAUAGUGACACAACAGGCAAAGCAUCCUGCAGACCUCUUAGGAGUCUGCAACAGCCACAGAGACUCCAGCACAAAAAAAACUUCGUGAUGAGACUGAUUUGAUUUCUGCUGAGUAGGACCUUAGGAGUGAGAUAACCAGCACAGCUCCAAAUGCAGAGCUUGGCUCUACGUUGGUCCCACUCCAGUCAUUUUUGUUUCACAUGGAAGGAACAGCUUAGCAGUUCUGCUGCUUUAUAACCAGAGACACAGGGACAGAAAGCUGUAAUAAAUGGUACAGAGAAUGGGGCUGAUCUGUGCUCCCAGUGUUUGAACUUCUGAAAAAAAUUAUCUUUCAUUUAGAGCUCUAAGAACAGACUGUUUGUAUAAGUACAAUGCUGGCUUUUUCUCUUUUCCAUGGCAUGGAAUUCUUUUGCCAGGAUUGGCUCCUCUUCCUCCUUUAACAAAUCAUCACAAUUUCGGCAAGCACUUCAUUGACUGCCAGUGCAGAGCUACCAAUAAUUUACCAGAAUUGAGACACUUUUGUGCUCCCGUUCUGCACAACUAAAUUAUCUCCUGCAUGCCCGGAUUUGUUCUGUUCCUGAUUACACACUGGAGGCUCAAUCCUACCCUGAUACUGGGCUCUGUUUCUGGGCUUUUCAGAGCGUGAGCCGUCCCAAGGAUUUGGAAGUUAAGACAGUGGGUGUAAGUUGAGGUUCAGUUGAGGACACACUGCUGUGCAUCUUGGAAAGGAAUUAGAGACUUGCACGAACGCUGUAAAUUAGAAAACA
This is a long non-coding RNA of Lepidothrix coronata (blue-crowned manakin), 1303 nucleotides long. RefSeq lists it as uncharacterized. NCBI's taxonomy places the organism in Eukaryota, Metazoa, Chordata, Aves, Passeriformes, Pipridae. The record is from RefSeq and is a predicted model, not a curated record. The transcript is spliced from 4 exons.